This 406-nucleotide ribosomal RNA is filed under the name uncultured bacterium. RNAcentral describes it as "partial 16S ribosomal RNA". It matches the Rfam family "Bacterial small subunit ribosomal RNA", at positions 30 to 526 of the family's 1533-position model. The record is from RNAcentral.
AUUGAACGCUGGCGGCAGGCCUAACACAUGCAAGUCGAACGAGUGGCGGACGGGUGAGUAAUGUCUGGGAAACUGCCUGAUGGAGGGGGAUAACUACUGGAAACGGUAGCUAAUACCGCAUACCAUCAGAUGUGCCCAGAUGGGAUUAGCUAUUUGGUGGGGUAAAGGCGCACCAAGACGACGAUCCCUAGCUGGUCUGAGAGGAUGACGAGCCAAACUGGAACGUAGAGAAGGUCCAGAAUACUACGGGAGGCAGCAGUGGAGAAUAUUGCACAAUGGGCGCAAGCCUGAUGCAGCCAUGCGGGGUGUAUGAAGAAGGACUUCGGGUUGUAAAGUACUUUCAGCGGGGAGGCGUUACCCGCAGAAGAAGCACCGGCUAACUCCGUGCCAGCAGCCGAGGUAAUUC